RNAcentral lists this ribosomal RNA (920 nucleotides) under uncultured archaeon. RNAcentral's name for it is "bacterial SSU rRNA". It matches the Rfam family "Archaeal small subunit ribosomal RNA", at positions 1 to 922 of the family's 1478-position model. The record is from RNAcentral.
UUCCGGUUGAUCCUGCCGGAGGCCAUUGCUAUUGGAGUCCGAUUUAGCCAUGCUAGUUGCACGAGUUUAGACUCGUAGCAGAUAGCUCAGUAACACGUGGCCAAACUACCCUCUGGAGCACGAUAACCUCGGGAAACUGAGGCUAAUAGUGCAUACGGCUCGAUGCCUGGAACUGGCUCGAGCUCGAAACGCUCCGGCGCCAGAGGAUGUGGCUGCGGCCGAUUAGGUAGACGGUGGGGUAACGGCCCACCGUGCCAAUAAUCGGUACGGGUUGUGAGAGCAAGAGCCCGGAGACGGUAUCUGAGACAAGAUACCGGGCCCUACGGGGCGCAGCAGGCGCGAAACCUUUACACUGCACGACAGUGCGAUAAGGGGACUCCAAGUGCGAGGGCAUAACGUCCUCGCUUUUCGUGACCGUAAGGUGGUCACAGAAUAAGGGCUGGGCAAGACCGGUGCCAGCCGCCGCGGUAAUACCGGCAGCCCAAGUGAUGGCCGCUCUUAUUGGGCCUAAAGCGUCCGUAGCUGGCCAUGCAAGUCCAUCGGGAAAUCUGCCCGCCUAACGGGCAGGCGUCCGGUGGAAACUGCAUGGCUUGGGACCGGAAGAUCCAGAGGGUACGUCCGGGGUAGGAGUGAAAUCCUGUAAUCCUGGACGGACCACCGGUGGCGAAAGCGCUCUGGAAAGACGGAUCCGACGGUGAGGGACGAAAGCUCGGGUCACGAACCGGAUUAGAUACCCGGGUAGUCCGAGCUGUAAACGAUGUCUGCUAGGUGUGGCACAGGCUACGAGCCUGUGCUGUGCCGUAGGGAAGCCGUGAAGCAGACCGCCUGGGAAGUACGUCCGCAAGGAUGAAACUUAAAGGAAUUGGCGGGGGAGCACUACAACCGGAGGAGCCUGCGGUUUAAUUGGAUUCAACGCCGGG